RNAcentral lists this ribosomal RNA (468 nucleotides) under uncultured bacterium. RNAcentral's name for it is "partial 16S ribosomal RNA". It matches the Rfam family "Bacterial small subunit ribosomal RNA", at positions 28 to 507 of the family's 1533-position model. The record is from RNAcentral.
GACGAACGCUGGCGGCGUGCUUAACACAUGCAAGUCGAACGGAAAGGCCCUGCUUUUGUGGGGUGCUCGAGUGGCGAACGGGUGAGUAACACGUGAGUAACCUGCCCUUGACUUUGGGUUAACUUCAGGAAACUGGGGCUAAUACCGGAUAGGAGCUCCUGCUGCAUGGUGGGGGUUGGAAAUUUUCGGCGGUUGGGGAUGGACUCGCGGCUUAUCAGCUUGUUGGUGGGGUAGUGGCUUACCAAGGCUUUGACGGGUAGCCGGCCUGAGAGGGUGACCGGCCACAUUGGGACUGAGAUACGGCCCAGACUCCUACGGGAGGCAGCAGUGGGGAAUAUUGCACAAUGGGCGGAAGCCUGAUGCAGCAACGCCGCGUGCGGGAUGACGGCCUUCGGGUUGUAAACCGCUUUCGCCUGUGACGAAGCGUGAGUGACGGUAAUGGGUAAAGAAGCACCGGCUAACUACGUG